Thalassophryne amazonica is the source of this 98-nucleotide long non-coding RNA. RefSeq lists it as uncharacterized. Lineage: Eukaryota; Metazoa; Chordata; Actinopteri; Batrachoidiformes; Batrachoididae. The record is from RefSeq and is a predicted model, not a curated record. The transcript has 4 exons.
UCUGUUAAUCGCAAAUAGAGGAUCACUGGCCAACAAAAUGGAACAACUGGAACUUCCAUAUCUAAGCAGAAAAACAUAAAGGACUGCUGCAUUAUGAU